AGCGAACGCUGGCGGCAGGCCUAACACAUGCAAGUCGAACGAACCUUUCGGGGUUAGUGGCGGACGGGUGAGUAACACGUGGGAACGUGCCUUUAGGUUCGGAAUAACUCAGGGAAACUUGUGCUAAUACCGAAUGUGCCCUUCGGGGGAAAGAUUUAUCGCCUUUAGAGCGGCCCGCGUCUGAUUAGCUAGUUGGUUGAGGUAAUGGCUCACCAAGGCGACGAUCAGUAGCUGUUCUGAGCGGAGGAUCAGCCACAUUGGGACUGAGACACGGCCCAAACUCCUACGGGAGGCAGCAGUGGGGAAUCUUGCGGAAUGGGCGAAAACCUGACGCAGCCAUGCCGCGUGAAUGAUGAAGGUCUUAGGAUUGUAAAAUUCUUUCACCGGAGACGAUAAUGACGGUACCCGGAGAAGAAGCCCCGGCUAACUUCGUG
This 434-nucleotide ribosomal RNA is filed under the name uncultured bacterium. RNAcentral's name for it is "partial 16S ribosomal RNA". It matches the Rfam family "Bacterial small subunit ribosomal RNA", at positions 29 to 507 of the family's 1533-position model. The record is from RNAcentral.